Molecule: ribosomal RNA, 739 nt
Filed under: Digenea sp. MKP-2016
Lineage: Eukaryota; Metazoa; Platyhelminthes; Trematoda
Description: SSU rRNA
Rfam family: Eukaryotic small subunit ribosomal RNA
Source: RNAcentral
GGUUCCUUAGAUCGUACAUACUACAUGGAUAACUGUAGUAAUUCUAGAGCUAAUACAUGCCACUAUGCCCUGACCCGCAAGGGAAUGGGUGGAUUUAUUAGAACAGAACCAACCGGUUGUGGUUUCGGCCGCUUCCGUUCCAUUCUGUGAUGACUCUGGAUAACUUCACUGAUCGCAGUCGGCCUUGUGUCGGCGACGGAUCUUUCAAAUGUCUGCCCUAUCAAUUUACGAUGGUAGGUGACCUGCCUACCAUGGUGAUAACGGGUAACGGGGAAUCAGGGUUCGAUUCCGGAGAGGGAGCCUGAGAAACGGCUACCACUUCCAAGGAAGGCAGCAGGCGCGCAAAUUACCCAAUCCCGGCACGGGGAGGUAGUGACGAAAAAUACGGAUACGGGACUCAACAGAGGCUCCGUAAUUCGAAUGAGUACAAUUUAAAUCCUUUAACGAGGAUCAACUGGAGGGCAAGUCUGGUGCCAGCAGCCGCGGUAACUCCAGCUCCAGAAGCGUAUAUUAAAGUUGUUGCAGUUAAAAAGCUCGUAGUUGGAUCUGGGUCGCAUGGCUACGUGCCGUCACUUGUAUUCCUKGUCUGGCUACGGUUGGGCURGGUUUGUGAGUCGGUUUCGUGGCUGUGUAGCCUUUCUGCCGUGUCUGUUUCGACAGGUGCUGACGGUUCAUCCGUUGGCAUGCUUCCAGAUGCCUUUAACCGGGUGUCGGGGGCGGGCGGCACGUUUACUUUGAA